CCUGAUGACCAUAGCAGGUUGGUACCACUCCUUCCCAUCCCGAACAGGACAGUGAAACGAUUCUGCGCCGAUGAUAGUGCUGAGACCAGUGUGAAAGUAGGUUAUUGUCAGGC
RNAcentral lists this ribosomal RNA (113 nucleotides) under Oxalobacter sp. OttesenSCG-928-P03. Lineage: Bacteria; Pseudomonadati; Pseudomonadota; Betaproteobacteria; Burkholderiales; Oxalobacteraceae. The record is from RNAcentral.